This 899-nucleotide ribosomal RNA is filed under the name Bacillus amyloliquefaciens. RNAcentral describes it as "bacterial SSU rRNA". It matches the Rfam family "Bacterial small subunit ribosomal RNA", at positions 41 to 920 of the family's 1533-position model. Lineage: Bacteria; Bacillati; Bacillota; Bacilli; Caryophanales; Bacillaceae. The record is from RNAcentral.
AGUGCGGCUGCUAUAAUGCAAGUCGAGCGGACAGAUGGGAGCUUGCUCCCUGAUGUUAGCGGCGGACGGGUGAGUAACACGUGGGUAACCUGCCUGUAAGACUGGGAUAACUCCGGGAAACCGGGGCUAAUACCGGAUGCUUGUUUGAACCGCAUGGUUCAAACAUAAAAGGUGGCUUCGGCUACCACUUACAGAUGGACCCGCGGCGCAUUAGCUAGUUGGUGAGGUAACGGCUCACCAAGGCGACGAUGCGUAGCCGACCUGAGAGGGUGAUCGGCCACACUGGGACUGAGACACGGCCCAGACUCCUACGGGAGGCAGCAGUAGGGAAUCUUCCGCAAUGGACGAAAGUCUGACGGAGCAACGCCGCGUGAGUGAUGAAGGUUUUCGGAUCGUAAAGCUCUGUUGUUAGGGAAGAACAAGUGCCGUUCAAAUAGGGCGGCACCUUGACGGUACCUAACCAGAAAGCCACGGCUAACUACGUGCCAGCAGCCGCGGUAAUACGUAGGUGGCAAGCGUUGUCCGGAAUUAUUGGGCGUAAAGGGCUCGCAGGCGGUUUCUUAAGUCUGAUGUGAAAGCCCCCGGCUCAACCGGGGAGGGUCAUUGGAAACUGGGGAACUUGAGUGCAGAAGAGGAGAGUGGAAUUCCACGUGUAGCGGUGAAAUGCGUAGAGAUGUGGAGGAACACCAGUGGCGAAGGCGACUCUCUGGUCUGUAACUGACGCUGAGGAGCGAAAGCGUGGGGAGCGAACAGGAUUAGAUACCCUGGUAGUCCACGCCGUAAACGAUGAGUGCUAAGUGUUAGGGGGUUUCCGCCCCUUAGUGCUGCAGCUAACGCAUUAAGCACUCCGCCUGGGGAGUACGGUCGCAAGACUGAAACUCAAAGGAAUUGACGGGGGC